CGCCUCUUGAUAAAAUAUAAGAGGUCCAGCCUGCCCAGUGACUCUGUUCAACGGCCGCGGUAUCCUAACCGUGCGAAGGUAGCGUAAUCACUUGUUCUUUAAAUGAGGACUAGUAUGAAUGGCACCACGAAGGUUACACUGUCUCUUCUUUCCAAUCAGUGAAACUAAUCUCCCCGUGAAGAAGCGAGGAUGAAAAUAUAAGACGAGAAGACCCUAUGGAGCUUUAAACCACGCAACAACUGCUUUGACUAAGCCAAAUUUCAGAAAACCCCUCCUUACCCUAACAGAAUGAUUGCCAGUUUUAGGUUGGGGUGACCGCGGAGCAAAAAGCAACCUCCACAUUGAAAGGGCGCCUGCCCUUAGCCAAGAACCACACCUCCACGCACCAAUAAAAUGACAUUAAUUGACCCAAUAUAUUGAUCAACGAACCAAGUUACCCUAGGGAUAACAGCGCAAUCCACUUCAAGAGCCCCUAUCGACAAGUGGGUUUACGACCUCGAUGUUGGAUCAGGGUAUCCCGGUGGUGCAGCCGCUACCAAAGGUUCGUUUGUUCAACGAUUAAAACCCU
RNAcentral lists this ribosomal RNA (568 nucleotides) under Centrolene muelleri (Mueller's giant glass frog). RNAcentral describes it as "partial 16S ribosomal RNA". It matches the Rfam family "Bacterial large subunit ribosomal RNA", at positions 1829 to 2597 of the family's 2925-position model. The record is from RNAcentral. Lineage: Eukaryota; Metazoa; Chordata; Amphibia; Anura; Centrolenidae.